Molecule: ribosomal RNA, 381 nt
Filed under: Pristurus insignis
Lineage: Eukaryota; Metazoa; Chordata; Lepidosauria; Squamata; Sphaerodactylidae
Description: partial 12S ribosomal RNA
Rfam family: Bacterial small subunit ribosomal RNA
Source: RNAcentral
CUAGACAUAAACAUGACUGUUUUUAUACUCACAGUCCGCCAGAGGAUUACAAGUGAAAAACUUAAAACUCCAAGGACUUGACGGUGUCCCACCAUACUAGAGGAGCCUGUCCUAUAAUCGAUACCCCACGUUUUACCUUACCCCUCCUAGCAAAAUUCAGUCUAUAUACCGCCGUCGUCAGCUUACACUGUGAACGCAUUAACGUAAACUAAAUAAUCUAACAUUAAAACGACAGGUCAAGGUGUAACUAAUGGAGGGGCAGAGAUGGGCUACAUUUUCUAUCCUAGAAUAUUACCACCUGCAGAAUGCAAACCCUGCCUACAGGCGGAUUUAGAAGUAAAAUAGGCAAGCUACGCCAAUUUGAAAUUAGCCCUGGGACAC